This 625-nucleotide ribosomal RNA is filed under the name Gallionella sp. RNAcentral describes it as "partial 16S ribosomal RNA". It matches the Rfam family "Bacterial small subunit ribosomal RNA", at positions 1 to 233 of the family's 1533-position model. Lineage: Bacteria; Pseudomonadati; Pseudomonadota; Betaproteobacteria; Nitrosomonadales; Gallionellaceae. The record is from RNAcentral.
CUUAAUGAGAGUUUGAUCCUAGCUCAGGGUGAAUGCUGGCGGCGUGGAUAAGUCAUGCAAGUCGAACGCUGGAGACCGGAGAACAGAGUCCGGAAGCCAGAAGGAUAUAUACUAAACACAUGGACUAUCGUGGAUUGGAAGUCUAUCAACGUGCGAAUGUUUUGUUUCCACAAAUCUAUCGCUUGGUUCGGUCUUGGAAACAGAUUGACCAACAUGAGAUUGGGAGUCAAAUGAUUCGUGCCGCGAAUUCUAUCCAUGCAAAUAUUGCAGAAGGAAGUACGAAAUCCAUUCCGGAUUUCAAACGGUAUCUCGGCAAUUCUAUUGGUUCGUGCGAUGAACUUGUGAGCCAUAUCACUGAUGCAGUGAAUAUUGGUCUUAUGGGCAAAACUGUUGGAGAUAAGUUAAUAGACGAAUAUCGAAUCGUCGGUAAACAGCUUAUGCGUCUCAAGCAGAAUUGGAAGUAAUGUCUUUCCGGUUCCUGGUUUCAGUUCUCCGGUUUCUAGAGUGGCAGACGAGGUAGUAACACGUAGGUACGUCCCCCGAAGUCGGGCAUAGCCAUCCGAAAGGAUGGGUAAUUCCCGAUAGUCCCGCAAGGGUAAAGGUUUUUCGCUUCGGGAGCGGCCUG